Molecule: ribosomal RNA, 492 nt
Filed under: uncultured bacterium
Lineage: Bacteria
Description: partial 16S ribosomal RNA
Rfam family: Bacterial small subunit ribosomal RNA
Source: RNAcentral
AUUGAACGCUGGCGGCAUGCUUUACACAUGCAAGUCGAACGGUAACAGGCCUUCGGGUGCUGACGAGUGGCGAACGGGUGAGUAAUGCAUCGGAACGUACCCAGAGGUGGGGGAUAACGCAGCGAAAGCUGUGCUAAUACCGCAUGUGAUCUGAGGAUGAAAGCGGGGGACCGAGCAGCAAUGUUUGGCCUCGCGCCAUUGGAGCGGCCGAUGUCGGAUUAGCUAGUUGGUGGGGUAAAGGCCUACCAAGGCGACGAUCCGUAGCUGGUCUGAGAGGACGACCAGCCACACUGGGACUGAGACACGGCCCAGACUCCUACGGGAGGCAGCAGUGGGGAAUUUUGGACAAUGGGCGCAAGCCUGAUCCAGCAAUGCCGCGUGCGGGAAGAAGGCCUUCGGGUUGUAAACCGCUUUUGGCAGGAACGAAACGGUGUCCGCUAAUACCGGGCGCUAAUGACGGUACCUGCAGAAUAAGCACCGGCUAACUACGUG